GGUGGGGUUCCCGAGCGGCCAAAGGGGCCAGGCUGUAAACCUGGUGGCGUUACGCCUUCGGGGGUUCAAAUCCCUCCCCCACCA
RNAcentral lists this transfer RNA (84 nucleotides) under Candidatus Caldipriscus sp. RNAcentral's name for it is "tRNA-Tyr". It matches the Rfam family "tRNA". From Rfam's summary of the family: Transfer RNA (tRNA) molecules are approximately 80 nucleotides in length. Their secondary structure includes four short double-helical elements and three loops (D, anti-codon, and T loops). Further hydrogen bonds mediate the characteristic L-shaped molecular structure. tRNAs have two regions of fundamental functional importance: the anti-codon, which is responsible for specific mRNA codon recognition, and the 3' end, to which the tRNAs corresponding amino acid is attached (by aminoacyl-tRNA synthetases). tRNAs cope with the degeneracy of the genetic code in two manners: having more than one tRNA (with a specific anti-codon) for a particular amino acid; and 'wobble' base-pairing, i.e. permitting non-standard base-pairing at the 3rd anti-codon position. Lineage: Bacteria; Candidatus Caldipriscota. The record is from RNAcentral.